ACUAGGGCCAGGCUGUGGUUAGAAGGAAAGGGACAUGCUGGAAUCCAACAGGGUUGAGACCCUUGCUUGGGACAGAAGAACCUAACUUGACUGCUUCUCCUAUGUACUUGGCACUCUGCCAGGCUCUGAGGCGGAUGCAAGGGUCAAAGGCACAGCGUCUGCAUUCCUGGAGCCCACAGUCCGGAAUCCAGUGAGGAGACGAACCAAAUAAGCAAGCAAACAAAAUUAUAUCUGUUUAUGCACACACAUA
Macaca mulatta (Rhesus monkey) is the source of this 250-nucleotide non-coding RNA. The record is from RefSeq and is a predicted model, not a curated record. Lineage: Eukaryota; Metazoa; Chordata; Mammalia; Primates; Cercopithecidae.